GACGAACCGUGCGAACGUUGUUCGGAAUCACUGGGCUUAAAGGGCGCGUAGGCGGGCUGCCAAGUCAGGGGUGAAAUCCUGCGGCUCAACCGUAGAAGUGCCUUUGAUACUGGUGGUCUUGAGGGAGGUAGGGGCGUGCGGAACUUCCGGUGGAGCGGUGAAAUGCGUAGAUAUCGGAAGGAACACCGGUGGCGAAAGCGGCGCGCUGGACCUCUUCUGACGCUGAGGCGCGAAAGCCAGGGGAGCGAACGGG
Molecule: ribosomal RNA, 253 nt
Filed under: uncultured prokaryote
Description: partial 16S ribosomal RNA
Rfam family: Bacterial small subunit ribosomal RNA
Source: RNAcentral